GGAGAGGUGACAGAGUGGCCGAUUGUGCAGCACUGGAAAUGCUGUGUAUCGCAAGGUACCAUGGGUUCGAAUCCCAUCCUCUCCGCCA
This 88-nucleotide transfer RNA is filed under the name Puniceicoccales bacterium. RNAcentral's name for it is "tRNA-Ser". It matches the Rfam family "tRNA". Rfam says of the family: Transfer RNA (tRNA) molecules are approximately 80 nucleotides in length. Their secondary structure includes four short double-helical elements and three loops (D, anti-codon, and T loops). Further hydrogen bonds mediate the characteristic L-shaped molecular structure. tRNAs have two regions of fundamental functional importance: the anti-codon, which is responsible for specific mRNA codon recognition, and the 3' end, to which the tRNAs corresponding amino acid is attached (by aminoacyl-tRNA synthetases). tRNAs cope with the degeneracy of the genetic code in two manners: having more than one tRNA (with a specific anti-codon) for a particular amino acid; and 'wobble' base-pairing, i.e. permitting non-standard base-pairing at the 3rd anti-codon position. Lineage: Bacteria; Pseudomonadati; Verrucomicrobiota; Opitutia; Puniceicoccales. The record is from RNAcentral.